Molecule: non-coding RNA, 3704 nt
Organism: Heterocephalus glaber (naked mole-rat)
Lineage: Eukaryota; Metazoa; Chordata; Mammalia; Rodentia; Bathyergidae
Source: RefSeq, a predicted model, not a curated record
UUGUUGCUAUCUUUAAAUUAUUAUUAUUAUUAUCAUCAUCAUCAUCAUCAUUAUCAUUAUUGAGUUCCAACAGCUAAUAUGCUGGAAGGAGCAUAAGGUUGAUUUCAUAAAUAAUACAAUUGGAAAAAAUAGACAAUUAUGUAAGAACAGUCUUUCCUGGCAAAUACUACAAACCUUUCCUUGGCUUUGGAGAAAUUUCUUGGUUUUGUUUUUUGAGUUAGAAGAGAAGAUAAAUUGAGUUUGAUGUCAGGAGUAUUUUAGAGAAAUGAUCACACUAUCAGUGCCAAACUCCAGGAGGGGAGGACAUUGGUGGUAACCCCGGAUAGAUUGGGGAACCCUGAGCCAAGGGCCCUGGGUCUCUCUGCCCACGCUAUUGCCCAAGGGCACCUCAGGGUCCUUUGGGCUCCCCAUCUCUGGGUAGCCUGGCCGCACAGAGAUGAAGUCACUGAAGAUCGUGGGACGCCAGAAGCUCUGGGCAGUCUCGCAGAGUCCUAGCCCCUGUCUAAGUGCAGUGAGAAUACUGAAGAUUCCUGUGCCCCCUGAUAGGUUGGGGGAGGCUGAGUGGCCCACAGUGGGAAUGGGGAGAUGUGUAUAUGGACAUUUAUUUACAUUUGACAAGGUGAGUUCAUUGCCAGCAGCAGAAAUUAAAUCAACCUAUAUAAAAUUAAUGUUAUACCCUGACAGUCUGAGUUAGAGGCUUUAAGAGUUGAAUGGCUCUCCCUAAUUUAUGGGUGUAAUUGGGAUCUAAACAAACAAACAGGCAUCAUUCUGGUGUUAUGGUGAAGUGAGUGAAUGUUCCAGGCUCGUUUGGCUUUGUGACCAAACAAGUGUGACCUGUGUGACCCGGCCUUUUAUUUCAGCCUGGUUCUCCUGAUUUCUCUGGGAUUCCUGGCAUAGAAGAAGGACUGUGGUUGCUUGUGGCAGAUCCUCCUUCACCCUUCCAGGGCUCUCGGCCCUUCCACAGCUGCACCCAGAAGCCUGAACUGGCAAAUGGUAGCGAUGCCAGAGACUACCCAGGGCACCGGGGCCUGAGCCUGCCCAUGGGGAUGCUUACCCUCAUUCCUAAGAGCAGGAGUCUCUCUCCCAUCCCACAUGGCAGGGGCAUGUGCCACACAUUUUCUGUCAGCCUCCAGCUCUCCUGGGCCACAGGGAGGAGGAGCUGCCCUACACAGCACAGAGCCGCUAAGCUGAGAGGCGGCACUGCCUCUGGGGGUUGGGGUGGCUCCUCUCCGUGCCCUCCCCUGAGCUUCGCACAAGCUCUGUACAGUACAGUGGUCACCACCUUGAGCUGUGGGGGUCUUUUGGAGAUUGUAAAGGAUCACACAGGGGAGUAUGACCUUUGAGGGCACAAAGAAGUCCAGCUUUAAGAGCCUCAGGAGACUGAAAUUCAGUCCGUGUCCUGUGGCUUUGAAUUUUAAAUCUGAAAUAUAACCUGUCCAUUACCCAGCAGACCCACUGUGCUGUGAGACAGAAUGCACCCUCUGGGGAGAGUGAGGGUUGAUGCCCCUCAUCUCCGGAGGAAUGUUUCCUCAAUGGCCGGCUCCACGUGGUGAGGGACAGGAAACCCGCCUGUGGGACUUUCCCAGGUCCCAGGGGUGGAUUAUUUUGAAGGACUUACUCCCUCCUCUCUGGCCCUCAGCACCUGCCCCAGGCGACACCUGCUGAGUCUUUCUGUGUUGCAUUCACCUUCUUAAAGAAGGAGGCUGCUCUCUCCAGAUCCAGACACACAAAAGGAAGGGCUAGGAUCCUGCCCAGUGGGCAUGCAACCUUCCGAGGGUGUUGGGUGCAGUCAGCAGCCAGUUUCUUUAUCUGGGAAAAUGGGAUGAUGUGAAGCUGGAGCAAAGCAUUGUGAGAAAUAGGGUAAAGCAGCUUGUUAGGAAGGACAUACACGCUCCGCAUUAAAUGUAAUAGUGCAGGCAACCAGUGUAUAAAUGAGGAAGCAAGCGCAGUCACUAGGACAAGGAAAUGAAGUAAUGAAAUGGACAAAAUAAUUUCUGUUUGUGAAUAAUAAAAGCUAAUUUUCAUGCUUUUUCGGUGCUAGGCACUGUUUAGGCACGUCACAGGCAUGUCCUCAUUUGCCCUCACAAGAGCUCUCCAUUUCCAUCCCAGAAGACAGAGAAUUCAGGUGGUAAGGGAGGGUCCUGGCUACAUGAGAAGGAUGCCGUAGCCCAACCUCAAACUCUCAGCCUAAUGCUAAACUGCCUCAAUACACGGACAAGGGGAAAUAUAGCUCCUUUUAGCCUCAUCAUCAAACUAAAAUUCAGAGGUGACCCCAGUGGGCCAACAGGUCAACCCUGCUUUCAUUCGGUCAAUAAAGAGAGGGAGGCAGGAAAGUCUGUUUCAGGAAGCAGAUGCUACAGGGGGCAUCAGGAGGCUCUCCCAUUCCAGAAGGUCUUUUAGAGAGGCCGAGAGGCCCUUGUUUCCUUCCUCAUCUUCAGAUUUUGCCAAUCCUAGUGAUGGAUUCGUAAUUGAAGAGUGAAAAGUAGGAGCUGUGUCCAAACUACACAGGAGGGAAGAUGGUUUCUUUUAACAAGUGUCAUGCCAUGGUGCUCACUAUGUCUCAGGCACCUGCAUUCUCCUCGCCUCACCUGUCUCCAGGACUCAGGGCUUGGUCAUCUCAACUGCUGCAGUGACAGUCGCCUCUGGCAAGAUGCUGAUUUGGGCCAAUGUCGCAGGCCCAGAGUCUCUGCCUCCUGCCAGCUCUUCUGGGCAUGAAUGAACAUCACACCACAGAGUGUGGGCUCUGGCAUCCCCCGGGCAAGGGCCAUUUCAUACAACUUGGAGAUUGGCCAGGGAGGCUGGAGAUAGGUAACUAAAUUCCCUCUUCACUUUUAUCUUUGAUGACCAUCGGGUGCUAAUUUUUUUUCUACAUACCCUGGCCAGAGAUGACUUGAACUCAGGCAUACUCAUUGAGAAAUAGCUGUACCUUGUUGAGAUUUGUUAGGAAGCAGAGGGCAACAUGAUGAAGCAUCAAACUGGAUCUACUCCUCAUCCUUUCCUGACUUGCUUUUCUUUCCCUUCGUUUUACUCCCCUGGAAUAGCACAUCCUAAAGCAGUGGCCCUAAGUCCUUGCCUUAGGAUACGUUCUAGACUGGGAGUCAUGGGCUCUAGAGUUCAAAGUAAAGUUUCUUCUGAACUUUUCCUCUAGGUUAUUGUCCUAUACCUGUCUAAGGACAGACUGUCCCAGAAACUGAGCCCAGGGACUCUGACGUGGGAUGUGUCUGCUCUGGUCACAAGGGCUGAUCAUCAGUCUCUCCAUGGCAAGUUUGAUUGGGAUGGAAAAUCCAGAAUUAGAGGACCUUAACAUUGUCAAUCAUCUUUAAUUCCUUGCUACUAACCCAGUCCUGGUUCGAUGGCACCAUCUUCUCUCUUUUAUCCUUCACAAGGGGCAGAAGAAUGAAUACACUGUGCUCCAGGAUAGCACCUUUGCCAGUCAGUUUUUAUAUAAGGAUCAGGUGAGAAUAAUAAAGGUCAGAGAAACAUACGUGAGUGUGCACAGCUGUGAGCAGGGACCAGAUUUCUAACCUACGUCUACUAGCAUCAAAGCCCUGGCUUCCCCGAACCUCCUGCCAUGCUGAGACCAUGUCUUCAUCAUCCUGAGUAUUCAACAUGUUGAAUAGCACAGGGCUUGCCUCUAUUUAAUUAAAUGUUUGCUGAAUAUAUUGAGGACACUGAUAUAGAUAACUCAUUGUUUUAUGUUCUUU